This 259-nucleotide signal recognition particle RNA is filed under the name Lachnospiraceae bacterium. RNAcentral's name for it is "signal recognition particle sRNA large type". It matches the Rfam family "Bacterial large signal recognition particle RNA". Rfam says of the family: The signal recognition particle (SRP) is a universally conserved ribonucleoprotein involved in the co-translational targeting of proteins to membranes. Archaeal SRP consists of a 7S RNA and homologues of the eukaryotic SRP19 and SRP54 proteins. The record is from RNAcentral. Lineage: Bacteria; Bacillati; Bacillota; Clostridia; Lachnospirales; Lachnospiraceae.
CCGUGCAGCCGGGGCGUUAGCGGUGCCCUGUACCUACAGUCCGCUUUAGUAGGGGUGAUGUUCGAGUGAGGGCUUAUGCCGCCCUAUAUUAUCUUCUGUAAGUAGUAUUGAAGCCGGGUCCUGCGCAACAGAAAUCCGUAAAACGUGUCAGGGCAGGAAUGCAGCAGCACUAGCGGAAGCUUCUGUGUGCCGCAGGAACGCCUGGUGGGGCUUACAGUUAGAAAUAUGGGAACGCAUCUGUUCGAACGAGAACGCACGG